CCUACGGGCGGCAGUAGUGAGGAAUAUUGGUCAAUGGACGAGAGUCUGAACCAGCCAAGUAGCGUGAAGGAUGACUGCCCUAUGGGUUGUAAACUUCUUUUAUAUGGGAAUAAAAUGUUCCACGUGUGGGAUUUUGUAUGUACCAUAUGAAUAAGGAUCGGCUAACUCCGUGCCAGCAGCCGCGGUAAUACGGAGGAUCCGAGCGUUAUCCGGAUUUAUUGGGUUUAAAGGGAGCGUAGGUGGAUUGUUAAGUCAGUUGUGAAAGUUUGCGGCUCAACCGUAAAAUUGCAGUUGAAACUGGCAGUCUUGAGUACAGUAGAGGUGAGCGGAAGUCGUGGUGUAGCGGUGAAAUGCUUAGAUAUCACGAAGAACUCCGAUUGCGAAGGCAGUUCACUGGACUGCAACUGACACUGAGGCUCGAAAGUGUGGGUAUCAAACAGGAUUAGAUACCCCAGUAGUC
RNAcentral lists this ribosomal RNA (460 nucleotides) under uncultured bacterium. RNAcentral's name for it is "partial 16S ribosomal RNA". It matches the Rfam family "Bacterial small subunit ribosomal RNA", at positions 338 to 795 of the family's 1533-position model. The record is from RNAcentral.